GAAAUGAUGCUGUAUGACGUGUCUGUUCCCUGCAAGCCCCAAACUUCUAUUGGCUUUCCAUAAAAAUGUCUGUCCGGGUGGAGAUGAAGCCAGGAAACUUGUGCAAGAACAUGUUUAAAUGCCGUACCCUUUGACACAACAUUAACAACUAUAAACUGCUUUAUAAUGGCUGGUCGUAGUUCUGCUAGAGGGUCAAGGACGGGUUCCUCAAAACUGUUAGUGUUUCCACACCACUUAGCAUGAACACAUGCUGACCUUUAUGCUCUGCAUCUAUCGAUUGAGUAAGUUACAUUCAUAUAUGUUACCCGUUUACAUGUCAUGGAAAAACAUUCAACCUCAGUGACACAAGGGUACAUCUGAUGAUACAUUGUCAACAUUGCAUGUCUGUCAGACUCAUCCAAGAUUGUCUGGUGGAAUGGAGAAAGAGGCACCACUGUACAGUUUUCUAGGGAAAGUCGUUCUGCUGACACCAAAACACUGCUUUACAUAAAGCAUAGCAGCUGUUUCAAAGUCCCAACCAUUUGUCUUCCUAAAAUACUGGUCCUUCCGUAUAACAAUAACCUUGUAUGUGAUUGGAGGACCCUUAGACUCCUCGUCCAAUCACGUGUGAGGUCAUAGGCAUGACUGAUACAGCAGUACUUGCAAGACGAGCAUACAAACAGUGUGUUACUAUAUUCAGAAGAACUGUAUCUCCAGUUCCUUUGUUUGGUUUUUGCUGCUUUGUGAAUAAUGGCUGGACGACGUCUCGCGUUCAACUGGCCUUCAACUCCUCUCCGCGGUCACCAACUUUCGGCCAGUCCGCAGACAGACGUGAAGAAGCUGCUGAAAGCUCUCAGUGGAUCGUCUCGUCAACUCCAACAACAAACUGCCGAUAUCAACGAGCGGUUCGCUCCACUGGAGCGUUCGGGACUCUGCGGGUUUCUGUCCAUAGAGGAGAGGAACCGACUCAAAGAAGAGGAGACGGGCGCACGAUCCCAAGAUAGCGGUAAGAAUACGUUCGAUGACUGCAAGCUAAGCUAAAAGUAGUGUAGCCUCAAGCUAAGCUAAGAGUAGCCUAGUAGCCUUAAUGAGCAGAAACAGCUUUAUUAAAGUGUAUUUUCUUUGCCGUGUCGUUUACAGGAAGCGGUGCGCCGUCUUCACAACUCCGAGACGAAUUACAGGCGCUACGAACCGGAGCAAGGGUCAGAUUUAAAGAAGAUGCUUUAAUUCUGCGGUAUAAGGAAAUAUAUACAUAUAGAUACCAUAGGAUGGAUACUGAUCAUAACUGUAAAUUUGGUUUUCACAGACUAAUCUCGCCUCAUAAUGAGGCGGUGACCUCGUAUUUGCUCCGGGAAAAGUCCAGAUUUAGACGACGUCAUUGUGUGUAAGUGACACUGUUUCUCCUUCCUUGUUAAAUGUUACUGUGACUUGCGUUUGAUUUUUUUGUAUUCAUACCACACUCAUUUAAUUGUUUUCCAGCUCCCUGUGAGACGUAUUGUGAGACCGGACGCAGGAGCUUCAGGUUCAGCCGGAACACUCAUUGCGGGCGGAAGCUGCGAAGGAUUCAGCGCGGAGUCAAGCGAGAAGAAAGAGGGUAAGAGUUUAUUUGCUGACUUUUUUCAGGUGCAUUGAUCGAUGUGUUGUGUCCGUACGCAUCGCACAAUACUGAUUCAUUGUUGUUUUUACAGCUGCUGGAAUCGAGACAAAGUGUGCUGGCUGAUGACGAGGUGGAACUCUGGAAAUCCGCCACCGUAGAGCUCAUGUCGGACGAAGAGGAUGGCGUUGUUGGCGGGGUCUCGGGGUGGAUUGUACGGUCGCCGCCAUUGCGUAGUCAGUCCCGGUUAGAGGCGACUCAGAAAUACCGAGCAACACACACUAGGCGCCUGCACAACAGACCUGCCUCGGAAAACACGCCGCCAGUGACGGUUUACAACCCCGAGGAGGCAAACGGACAGUUUACUGAGCUGUAUUUUUUUAAACCGUCGUUACCCAAGUGUGGGUAGGUCCUCACUUUGGAUAUAGUUGUUGUUUGUGUGUUGUUAAUAAAGCGCUUUCUUUGCAUAAACAUGUUCCUGGCAAAUGUUCAUUUUCUCUAUAAAUUCAUUGAUGUCCUGGAUGGUAUCCUAAUAAUAGUGUAGUAGUCUACAUAGGAUAACAAUGAAAUGAAUAUACAGCAUAAUAUGAAUAUAUAAAUAUAUAUAUGAAUACAAUGAGGUGGGUGACCAAUAGCGACAGAUCCGCCAACCAAUCAUGAGUGAUUUUAUUCAAACAAGUAAAAUCACUCAUGAGUGGGGAGCCACUUCGUCAUACCCCUAACUUCUCUCUCCCCUUUAUUCUGCAGACCGACGCGUCGAACAGAGGGCUGGGGGCCGUUUUGUCCCAGGAGGUGGGGGGGGGGGUGGACCGCCCUGUGGUGUACAUCAGCCAGAAGCUGUCUGAGAGGGAGGCCAGGUACAGCACAGUGGAGAAGGAGUGCCUGGCCAUCCGGUGGGCAGUCGACUCCCUACGCUACUACCUCCUGGGACGCCCUUUCACCCUCUGUUCGGACCACGCCCCGCUCCAAUGGCUCCACCGCAUGAAAGAUGCCAACACCCGGAUCACUCGGUGGUAUCUGGCUCUACAGGCUUUUAAUUUCAAGGUGAUCCAUAGGCCUGGGGCGCAGAUGCCUGUGGCUGAUUUCCUCUCCCGCUCCUGAAAGGGGGGGUGGGGGGGGGGAGUAGUUUCGGCCAGAUGGCUCCCCAGCCUUGUCGGACGGUGGGGGUAUGUGGUGGCGGGCAUUGUUUGGCUCGGCUGCAGAGGGGACGGAGAAGGAAGUGGCUGGGGGAACGGUGCCAGAAGGAGGCAUAAUUGGCCUCAGGUGAAACUAAUCAUGUGUGUGUGUGUGUUCUGCCUCAAGUAGAAGAGAACCGGCGACAGCGAGGAGGCUGGAGCCGGUCGUCUGUUGUUUUUGAGAAACGUUAUAUAAAGUGUGCAUAAUGAAACAGACUACUGCGUUCUCAUCAUUCCGAGACCCCCCCAUAGGACGAACCUGCCACAUACACCUUCAUAGAUUCCUCUGGUGAGACUCAGAAGAUGAGGGGCUUGAGGAAUAUGCAAUCACCAGAGUAAACAUCAGCUGGGGAUAAACCAGCAGGGUGCAUCGCACAGAUAGCAAUGCGUGAAACUUUCAACCUUUGCUUAGCCAAGUUUCAGAGCUGUCGGAUAACUCCUGCUAAGCAGAAGGGAGCCAUUCUGGUACGAAAGGCAUUCCAAGAGACAGAUCAAGGACACAUGGGACAUGGCACUCUCGGAAGGUCUGAGGGAAUAUGCAAUUCAGCUCUUUGAGGAAUACAUCUAACUGGGUAAAGUUAAGUUCACUAGAGCACUAACACCUCCAAACUACAUCACGAAACCCUGGGCGAUCACCUUCUUGGAUGGAAGCGAGCACGCCUAUGGAGCAGUCAUGUACCUGAGGUGUCCAAGGGAGUUCAAUUUCCCAAAAUUGGGACUGUCCCUUGGACUGUCAAGGUGAUUCUGUCAAGGCAGAAGUCUGCGGGGCAGUGUUUACCUCAGACCUGAAGAAAUACUUUGAGCUGAACAGUCGGAUCCAGGUUGAAGGACAGUUUCAUCUAAUCAAUAGCAAACAGUCCUCGGCGCAAUACAGUAAGAAAGCUAUGGCUACCAAACCUGAUCAGAGAAAUUCAGGACAGCACAAGGAUCCACAACUGGUGGUGGAUCCCAGGUUGCAAAAGAAGGCAUUUGUGGCUGCACUGACUCGUGCCAAAGAAAGAAGAGCUAAAACAAGGUUAUGACCAGGCGCAGACUGAUCAGAGAAGACCACCUGCAGGGUCAGCCAGCAGAGGCCUCGUCGAUGUCAAGCGUUUCAGUAGUCUGACCCGACUGGUCAAAACAAUUGCAUGAAUCUGGAGAGCAGGAAAGGCGUUCAUUGGACAAGGAAAAGUCCUGAAGUGGGAGGCAGUCUCCUCAAAACAAAUUAUCUCCAGGAAGUCCAGGAACGAGAAGAUGCCCGGAAAGACAGUUUUCUUGCAGCACAAGAGGGCAUAACCUUCCCAAGCACCAGAAUAGACAGAUUGGUGGUCUACAAAGACUCUUUGCACUUGGCCACCGCAAACCAAUAGCCAAAGAUUCAAAGAGGAUCACGUUGGGGUCCCUAGCUUACCUUAUGACGCCUGGGUGUCCACAUUACUAGCUCGGGAGGCACACAAUAAGAAUCAUGAAGGAGUGGCCGGAACCCUGCUCAAGAUGGAAAAGACAGCUUGGGUCAUAAAAGGGAGGAGUAUUGCCCGAAGAAGUGUAGAUAGCUGCAGCAUAUGCAGGAAGGCAAAAGCACGAAAAUGUCAGAACGAACGGAACCCGCCGCCCCAUUUAAAUUCACCACAGUAGACCUCUUUGGACCGUACCAAGUACAGGAUGAUGCGAAGAAACAAGUGAGACUGAAAGUCUGGGGUGUGGUCUUUUGCUGUAUGGCCAGCAGGGCCAUCCACACAGAGUUAGUCAAUUCUCUAGCAGCCAAAGUUUUCUCAUGGCUUACCAAAGGUUUACAGCGAUCGGGGGUCAUCCCAGGAAAAUCUGGUCGGACCCAGGCACUCAUUUCAAAUGAGCCAGUCUCGGAGGAGCUUUGCCGAUUCUUGGACAGCCUUGAUAAAGCAGGCCUGGCAAAGUUUGCGCCCAAUUGACGCUAGAGUACAGAGUCGAGAGGACUGUAUUCAAUAUAUAACACACUCCUUCUCGGCCAAGCAUCUCAGAGUGAGGACCUCAACUUCUGACUUUUCCGAUUACCCCUACAAAAGACUCGUUAGAGCGAUAGAGGUAGAGGUGACCAAGUUCUGGAAGCAUUGGAGUCAACUCGGGGGGUCCCAACUUGUUUGUCAGAAACAGGCUAAGUGACCAAAAUGCGCUGAGAGGCCAAUUCAAACUCUGAGUCAUCAGUACGAAUCCCGACAGCAAAGGCGUUGUGACGGACGUCAACGUCAGGAUCUAUCCAUCUUACAAUAUUUCAGUUUCAAAAGCACUGAAAAGGGAAAUCAGACAAUCCAGCGUUGACUGAACAAAGGGGGAAGAUCCAAGCCACCAUUCUUCACAGGGACGUCCAGCGGUUGGUUGUUCUACUACCUGAGGAGGAACAGACAGCGCCUCAAGGCGACAUCUAAAGACGAUUGAGGCCGCAGGCCUGUGACCACAUAGUUUGCCUUUUCAAACUGACAAUCUACCCAGUGAUUCCAUGGGAUCGAGUGGGAGGUGUGAGGUCAAACAAGGUUUUUUCAUUUGACUAUGUAUAGAGAGCAACAGUAGGUAAGUUGAUGGGAGGGAACCCAGGUAGAAGGUAUGGGGCGGAGCUAUUUACCGGGAGGACCUCAUAGGGGAGAACGGGCGCGGGGUAAGGAAACAAACAGCUGACAGACAGGAGCCAGCUGAUGCACCGCGACAUGAGUUAGGUCCCUGAAGGGUAGCUUGUUUUUCACCUGGGACGACACCAGAGACCGAAAGAGUGCUUGGCGCCAGAAAGAAAAAUAAAAAAGGAUAAAAGAAAAACGUGUUGAGUGAAAUCCAGUUUCCAGGGAAUCUCAGUUCCCUUUCAAGUGGGGAAACUGCACCAGCGUAAAUAGGAGCACGGGGAGAAACUUGACAGUCUUUCGUUAUUUUCCUCAAAGAAACACAAUAGUUAGCAAUCAUAAUUUUCUGGUCUGAAACGGAAGGCUGGGUGAAUUACCGGGUGAGAGGCAAAACAGGCAGGGCAAAUCAGUCCAAGUGUAAGCGCUGGCAUUGAAGCGGAGAACGGUCAAGCAGCUGGUUUGUGUAACACAGGGGUUUAAAAAGUGGCAGAAGCAGGUUGAGCAGGUGAGCGCAAUGAGCUGUAUAACCUUUACUGUGUAUAUGGAUGCGAAAUAUUGUUGCAACUUUAACUUGCCAAAUCUUCCAUGGGCACCUCACUUAUUCAAUUUCAUCAGAUAGGAUUUUUGAAAUCCAAAUUUCGUUUCGGCUCCGAGGAGAGCUGCUUUUAGGAAUUAGGGGUUUAAGAAGACACUUUUGAAAUAUGUUCAAUUCUUUUCAUUUUAUAAACAUUUCUAUAAACAGACAUAUUAGAAAGACCAGGGCUGUAGUGGAGGGUAAACGUACGUAAACGCCGUUUACGCACCUCUGGAAUUUUGGAAAUAGCGUUUACGCACCUAUAAAUAGCGUUUACACACCUCAAAGUUCCCUGCGCCUUGUAUUCUUCCGUUGGAAUAAUCCGAAAUAAACUUGGUGUAAUUUUAAAACAGCUAAGACUACGUUUCCUAUUGUUGAACAUAUAAACGGCGUAGUCUGAAUCAUGUUCAUCUGCACUGUAUUACGGUCUGUGAGCAUCCAAUCAGUGCCUUGCGGCUGCAGCAGCGACCAAUCAGGAUCCAGGAGGACAAGGAGGCCCUCUGGGCACUACUGUAAAAAGGAGACUCCGUAUGUAGAUAGUUCUUAAUCUGCAAUUGUGUUGUGUUGACAUACUUUUCUUUACUAUUUUCUUAAAUUUAACAUUUAACAUAAUGCAGUAUAGCCAGGACAGCCUUACAGUCGCGAGGCUUCGCAUCGCGUUGCUUCGCAUCGAGGUCUGUAUGAUCACAAAAUUCAGAGUUUACCCACCUCUAAUUUUACCACUACAGCACUGAGAAAGACCCAUUGUGGUUUUAGAGGCAGUUACAGCACACAUAGCUUUUAGCAGACCCAAUGCACAGAUGCACUAGUAAACUGUUGUUCAACUCCAAAUUCAAGGAAUCAAACUGUUUUGAUUUAUCUAUUCACGUUGCACUAUUUACGUUGUAAAAAAGGUUUAUUUCUUUUAAUAAACUGUUUUUCACUUUGGAAGGAGUCAGACUUGUACCUUUUACCCACUUCCAGUUUUUCUACUAGGCUAAGUUAAUUCCUUCUCCAUACUCCAUUCUUCAAAAUGAAGACAUUUGGAUCACAUUGUAUUCUUCAUGUGAGAGCUCCGCCCAUGAGGAUCUUUGGGAAUAUCCAUGAGUAGUUUGGGUCUCAUUAUGGGUACCAAGUCAUCCUCGCUCAGCCAGAGAAGCCCAGAGACUUACAGUGCAUCCGGAAAGUAUUCACAAAGCUUCACUUUUUCCACAUUUUGUUAUGUUACAGCCUUAUUCCAAAAUGGAUUAAAUUCAUUAUUUUCCUCAACAUUCUACACACAACCACCCAUAAUGACAAAGUGAAAACUGUUUUUUGCAAAUCUGCUAAAAAUAAAGAACGAAAACAUAACAAGUACAUAAUGUGAUGUCACGAGAGGCUGGGUCUUGGAAGGGAGGUACGUUCACCGAAGAUGGCUAUAACUGGUAUGGCUCCAUCUGCCGGUGGAGUUAGGAACCCCACUCCGAGCAUCCCCCUCACAUCUGAAACCCAUCAGGGUAUGACGACCUGAAGGCCUUCAUAAGGGUGGGAGACACACCAUUGAGGGGAAGAGAGAGACGAGCUGCAGGUUGGGCCCGAUGCAGAAGACCUAUACAGGAGGAUUCCCGGAGACCGGAGGGACUGAGAAGACGAGGCAUUAUUUAAGUUUUACCAGCGAAGAUCGACCGAAGCCUAAGUUACACAUUUUUGACUACUGUUUUCUGUUGAAGCCAAAGGACGUGAAUUAAACCUUUUGUUUACAUUUUGAACCUGGUGUCCUUGCACUACCCCAGUGAGAGCGGCGCUGCCUCUCAUGACAUCACAAUAAGUAUUCACAGCCUUUGCUCAAUACUUUGUUGAAGCACCUUUGGCAGCAAUUACAGCCUCAAGUCUUCUUGGGUAUGAUUCCACAAGCGUGGCACACCUAUUUCUGGGCAGUUUCUCUCAUUCUUCUUUGCAGAACCUCUCCAGUUCCAUCAGGUUGGAUGGGGAGCAUCGGUGCACAGCCAUUUUCAGAUCUCUCCAGAGAUGUUCAACCGGGUUCAAGUCAGGGCUCUGGCUGGGCCACUCAAGGACAUUCACAGAGUUGUGCCGAAGCCACUCCUUUGUUAUCUUGGCUGUGUGCUUCGGGUCGUUGUCCUGUUGGAAGAUGAACCGUCGCCCCAGUCGGAGGUCCAGAGCGCUUUGGAGCAUGUUUUCAUCGAGGAUGUCUCUGUACAUUGCUGCAUUCAUCUUUCCCUCAAUCCUGACUAGUCUCCCAGUUCCUCCUGCUGAAAAACAUCCCCACAGCAUGAUGCUGCCACCACCAUGCUUCACUGUAGGGAUGGUAUUGGCCAGGUGAUGAGCAGUGCCUGGUUUCCUCCACAUGACGCUUGGCAUUCAGGCC
Long non-coding RNA from Gasterosteus aculeatus aculeatus (three-spined stickleback), 8230 nucleotides. Lineage: Eukaryota; Metazoa; Chordata; Actinopteri; Perciformes; Gasterosteidae. The record is from Ensembl.